This 813-nucleotide long non-coding RNA is filed under the name Cairina moschata (Muscovy duck). RNAcentral's name for it is "domestica (muscovy Duck (domestic type)) lncRNA (ENSCMMG00000008487.1)". Lineage: Eukaryota; Metazoa; Chordata; Aves; Anseriformes; Anatidae. The record is from RNAcentral.
GAGAAACCCUUUACUGUUUAGGAAAGGUAAGAAGGGAAGGGACGCUGAGAAGGAUCUGUUGCAGAAUCUCCAGUGUGUUCUUCCUGUGUAGUACGGUAAAACAUUAAAGGUUAACACGUUUUAAUAAAAAUGAAACUCUGCUGAUCGAAUCCAUAGAGGUGAAACUAAAAUGUGGAUAAUCUGAAAACCAGCAAGUGUGGUAUAAGUUUGGUUCUGUAACUGUCACCAGUACUUUGGUGUUUAUGCACACACAUGAAAAUAGCGCAUCUCCUUCAGUUAAUUUACAGGAAUAUGGACAACUCAGGUUCAGUCAUAAUUUGUGGAGAAAACCUGUACCUCUCAAGAGCCUCUUCCAUUCAGCAGAGGGCAGUGAUCUUGCAUCCACACCGUCUCCUCCUCACAGACUUGUUUGGCCGCUUCAUCUCUGUGCAGAUCAUCAGGUGGUCACAGAAACUCAGCAUUAUGGAGAAUGGUCAUUCAGGAAUGGAGUCAUACCAAGAAAAUGCUGCCUUGUGGGGAUUCUUUAACCAAUUUCAGGCUCUGUGUAGUGGAAAACCUCAGGAGGGGAACCCAAGACUGCACUGUCAGUCCAAUCAUCAGAUAACAUUUGUUUUACUGCCUGAUUUGAAAACAUUCUCAUUUUGGAUGUCUCGAUUCAAUUGCAUUCAUAGGAAAAACUUCCCUUGCUCACCGUGUGGAUCCUCGGACUCUGUAAGUAAAGCUCAGAAUCUAAUGGACUCUCUCAUAUAUGAAAGAAUGCAUUAACUACAGGUCAGAAAAAUCUGUUUAUUGUGUUGUUUUAGUAUGGAGAGC